UACGGCUGCCUCUGGUGCUGAACGGUGGA
RNAcentral lists this non-coding RNA (29 nucleotides) under Homo sapiens (human). The record is from RNAcentral. Lineage: Eukaryota; Metazoa; Chordata; Mammalia; Primates; Hominidae.